RNAcentral lists this ribosomal RNA (254 nucleotides) under uncultured bacterium. Its description in RNAcentral is "partial 16S ribosomal RNA". It matches the Rfam family "Bacterial small subunit ribosomal RNA", at positions 524 to 776 of the family's 1533-position model. The record is from RNAcentral.
UACGUAGGGGGCAAGCGUUGUCCGGAUUUAUUGGGCGUAAAGAGCUCGUAGGCGGCUUGGUAAGUCAGGUGUGAAACCUCCAGGCUCAACCUGGAGACGCCACUUGAUACUGCCAUAGCUAGAGUCCGGUAGGGGAGCGUGGAAUUUCUGGUGUAGCGGUGAAAUGCGCAGAUAUCAGAAGGAACACCAGCGGCGAAGGCGGCGCUCUGGGCCGGAACUGACGCUGAGGAGCGAAAGCGUGGGUAGCAAACAGG